Molecule: non-coding RNA, 78 nt
Organism: Caerostris darwini
Lineage: Eukaryota; Metazoa; Arthropoda; Arachnida; Araneae; Araneidae
Source: the annotation of a GenBank genome assembly
UUAGAUCACCGAAGUCAAGCAUCAUUGGGCGCGGUCAGUACUUGGGUGGGUGACCACCUGGGAACACUGCGUGCCGUU